Molecule: ribosomal RNA, 449 nt
Filed under: uncultured bacterium
Lineage: Bacteria
Description: partial 16S ribosomal RNA
Rfam family: Bacterial small subunit ribosomal RNA
Source: RNAcentral
AACGAACGCUGGCGGCAUGCCUAACACAUGCGAGUCGAACGAAGCCUUCGGGCUUAGUGGCGCACGGGUGCGUAACGCGUGGGAAUCUGCCCUUGGGUUCGGAAUAACAGUUAGAAAUGACUGCUAAUACCGGAUGAUGUCUUCGGACCAAAGAUUUAUCGCCCAAGGAUGAGCCCGCGUAGUAUUAGGUAGUUGGUGGGGUAAUGGCCCACCAAGCCGACGAUCCUUAGCUGGUCUGAGAGGAUGAUCAGCCACACUGGGACUGAGACACGGCCCAGACUCCUACGGGAGGCAGCAGUGGGGAAUAUUGGAAAAUGGGCGAAAGCCCGAUCCAGCAAUGCCGCGUGAGUGAUGAAGGCCUUCGGGUUGUAAAGCUCUUUUACCAGGGAUGAUAAUGACAGUACCUGGAGAAUAAGCUCCGGCUAACUCCGUGCCAGCCGCCGCCGUAA